UACGGAGGGUGCAAGCGUUAUCCGGAUUCACUGGGUUUAAAGGGAGCGUAGGCGGGUCAAUAAGUCAGUGGUGAAAGCCCUAAGCUUAACUUGGGAAUUGCCAUUGAUACUGUUGAUCUUGAGUGCGGUUGAAGUGGGCGGAAUAUGACAUGUAGCGGUGAAAUGCUUAGAUAUGUCAUAGAACACCGAUUGCGAAGGCAGCUCGCUAAACCGUAACUGACGCUGAGGCUCGAAAGCGUGGGGAGCAAACAGG
Molecule: ribosomal RNA, 253 nt
Filed under: uncultured bacterium
Lineage: Bacteria
Description: partial 16S ribosomal RNA
Rfam family: Bacterial small subunit ribosomal RNA
Source: RNAcentral